UGUAGUUCCAGGCACGUAGAAUUCAAUGCGUCGUCCAGCCGCGAAACGCAAACUCCGAACAACUUACUCCAUAGAAGUUAGAACUCACGUCAUUGAAUUCAACGUACUCUCUCUCCUUCCUCCUCUCCCUCUCGUCUUCAGGGCUUGUUCUACCUCUCUAAAGCCAAAACCCCUUGAUCGUUUAUCGCGAGCUGAUGCACUGAUGACUCAUUUACGGAGGGCUCGUUGCUACUGGAUCUGCAAACGUGGAUGGGAUGGAAUUGGGAGGGGAGGGAUACGAAUUUUAACGUCAUUUUGGACAGCUAGUCAUUCAUGUUUGGGCGUUUCAGAUUUUUAAUUGGUCCGAAUUAGAGAAGCGUGUCUAUUAAGAGAUUGCUUAAUGCAAACUCACGACCAGUUAAGCCAGCUAUGUUGGAGGCGGUGCAGGAGAUUGCCAUUUAUGUUCACAGGUUCCACAAUCUCGACUUGUUCCAACAAGGAUGGUAUCAAAUAAAGAUUACCAUGAGAUGGGAGGAUGAUACUUACACCUCACCCGGAAUUCCUGCAAGAGUUGUUCAAUACGAAGGUACUG
Nelumbo nucifera (sacred lotus) is the source of this 571-nucleotide non-coding RNA. The record is from RefSeq and is a predicted model, not a curated record. NCBI's taxonomy places the organism in Eukaryota, Viridiplantae, Streptophyta, Magnoliopsida, Proteales, Nelumbonaceae.